UUUUGGCUCAGAACGAACGCUGGCGGCGCGUUUUAAGCAUGCAAGUCGAGCGGCAGGGGGGCUUCGGUCCCCCGUAGAGCGGCGAGACGGAGUGAGUAACACGUGGACAACCUGCCCCCCGGUUCGGGAUAGCCCAGGGAAACCUGGAUCAAUACCGGAUGCGAGGGCGGCCGCACAAGCGGCCGUCGGGAAAGGCGCUUCGGCGCCGCCGGGGGAUGGGUCCGCGUCCCAUUAGCUAGACGGUGGGGUAACGGCCCACCGUGGCGAUGAUGGGUAGCCGGCCUGAGAGGGUGGACGGCCACAUUGGAACUGAGACACGGUCCAGACUCCUACGGGAGGCAGCAGCUAAGAAUCUUCCGCAAUGGGCGAAAGCCUGACGGAGCGACGCCGCGUGAACGAAGAAGGCCGUGAGGUUGUAAAGUUCUUUUCGGGAGGGGGAACGAGGCUGCCAGGCAAUGGGCGGCCGAUGACGUGAAUCCCGGAAUAAGCCCCGGCUAACUACGUGCCAGCAGCCGCGGUAACACGUAGGGGGCGAGCGUUGUUCGGAAUCAUUGGGCGUAAAGGGCGUGCAGGCGGCCGCCAAAGUCCGGCGUGAAAGACCCAGGCUCAACCUGGGGGGUGCGCCGGAUACUGGGCGGCUUGAGUACAGGAGGGGACGGCGGAAUUCCAGGUGUAGGGGUGAAAUCUGUAGAUAUCUGGAGGAACACCGAUGGCGAAGGCAGCCGUCUGGCCAUGUACUGACGCUGAGGCGCGAAGGUGCGGGGAGCAAACAGGUUUAGAUACCCUGGUAGUCCGCACAGUAAACGAU
Molecule: ribosomal RNA, 808 nt
Filed under: uncultured bacterium
Lineage: Bacteria
Description: bacterial SSU rRNA
Rfam family: Bacterial small subunit ribosomal RNA
Source: RNAcentral